UGGGGAAUAUUGGACAAUGGGCGCAAGCCUGAUCCAGCAAUUCCGCGUGUGUGAAGAAGGCCUUCGGGUUGUAAAGCACUUUAGGCAGGGAAGAAAAAAUCGGCGUGAAUAAUGCCGGUCUUGACGGUACCUGAUGAAUAAGCACCGGCUAACUCUGUGCCAGCAGCCGCGGUAAUACAGAGGGUGCAAGCGUUAAUCGGAUUUACUGGGCGUAAAGCGUGCGUAGGCGGUUCAUUAAGUCGGUUGUGAAAUCCCUGGGCUUAACCUGGGAACUGCAGUCGAUACUGGUGAACUAGAGUGCGGUAGAGGGUGGCGGAACUCCGGGUGUAGCGGUGAAAUGCGUAGAUAUCCGGAAGAACACCGAUGGCGAAGGCAACCACCUGGGCCUGCACUGACGCUGAGGUACGAAAGCGUGGGGAGCAAACAGGAUUAGAUACCCCCGUAGUCC
Molecule: ribosomal RNA, 448 nt
Filed under: uncultured bacterium
Lineage: Bacteria
Description: bacterial SSU rRNA
Rfam family: Bacterial small subunit ribosomal RNA
Source: RNAcentral